GGAUUAGAUACCCGGGUAGUCCAUGCCGUAAACGUUGGGCACUAGGUGUGGGGCUCAUUCCACGAGUUCCGUGCCGCAGCAAACGCAUUAAGUGCCCCGCCUGGGGAGUACGGCCGCAAGGCUAAAACUCAAAGGAAUUGACGGGGGCCCGCACAAGCGGCGGAGCAUGCGGAUUAAUUCGAUGCAACGCGAAGAACCUUACCAAGGCUUGACAUACACCGGAAACUUCCAGAGAUGGUUGCCCCGCAAGGUCGGUGUACAGGUGGUGCAUGGUUGUCGUCAGCUCGUGUCGUGAGAUGUUGGGUUAAGUCCCGCAACGAGCGCAACCCUCGUCCUAUGUUGCCAGCACGUGAUGGUGGGGACUCAUAGGAGACUGCCGGGGUCAACUCGGAGG
This 394-nucleotide ribosomal RNA is filed under the name uncultured bacterium. RNAcentral describes it as "bacterial SSU rRNA". It matches the Rfam family "Bacterial small subunit ribosomal RNA", at positions 775 to 1169 of the family's 1533-position model. The record is from RNAcentral.